CAUACGACUCUCGGCAACGGAUAUCUCGGCUCUCGCAUCGAUGAAGAACGUAGCGAAAUGCGAUACUUGGUGUGAAUUGCAGAAUCCCGUGAACCAUCGAGUCUUUGAACGCAAGUUGCGCCCGAGGCCUUUCGGUCGAGGGCACGCCUGCCUGGGCGUCA
This 161-nucleotide ribosomal RNA is filed under the name Fritillaria hupehensis. RNAcentral's name for it is "5.8S ribosomal RNA". It matches the Rfam family "5.8S ribosomal RNA". Rfam says of the family: 5.8S ribosomal RNA (5.8S rRNA) is a component of the large subunit of the eukaryotic ribosome. Lineage: Eukaryota; Viridiplantae; Streptophyta; Magnoliopsida; Liliales; Liliaceae. The record is from RNAcentral.